Molecule: long non-coding RNA, 616 nt
Filed under: Helianthus annuus (common sunflower)
Lineage: Eukaryota; Viridiplantae; Streptophyta; Magnoliopsida; Asterales; Asteraceae
Source: RNAcentral
CUGAAGCGGUCUCAUUGCCACCAACCAAAGCCGCCUCUUUCAAACCCUAAUCCCCUGUUUCCUUUCAUAAGCAUGAGCUUCAUCAUGGUCAUCGUUUCUGGUCCUGUAUGCGGAUUGCGUGAUUCGUCUCUUGACUCCUGCAAUCGAGGCUGAAGAAGAAUAACAACUCAGUUUAAAAGACUGAGGCUGAGGCAGUUGAGACAAUCUGGAAAACACGUAAAGAGGUCAUCAACAUGUAGACAGAAUUACCAAGAUGUACAGUGGUGGAUCCAGAAUUCUUUUUCACCGGUUCUUUUGGUAGAUUCUUACAAGUUCUCGCUAAUUUUUUCCAAAUCAUACAAGGUUUCCACUAAUUUUUCCACUUUUUCUAAACCAAACCCCCAAAAACCCCUUGGAUCCGCCCCUGAAGAUGUAGAUGCAAAAAAUAUUUUUGGUCUUAGACCGAAUGCAAGGUGUAUAAGACCAUAGUGUGUAAAUGAAUCGAGUUGCUCGUGAAGUACUUGAGAGACUAGUCGUUAAAAAUUAAAAUUAAAGCAAUGUUAACUAAUUUUUAUUUGACCUCAUUUAACAAAGAGGUGGAGACCAACCUUCAUACAUGGAUCGUGAGUCUAAACGA